This 520-nucleotide ribosomal RNA is filed under the name uncultured bacterium. Its description in RNAcentral is "bacterial SSU rRNA". It matches the Rfam family "Bacterial small subunit ribosomal RNA", at positions 8 to 518 of the family's 1533-position model. The record is from RNAcentral.
AGGGUUCGAUUCUGGCUCAGGAUGAACGCUAGCGGCAGGCUUAACACAUGCAAGUCGAGGGGCAGCACGGUGUAGCAAUACACGUGGUGGCGACCGGCGGAAAGGGUGGGUAACGCGUGAGCAACAUGCCCGAUAGUGGAGGAUAGUCGAUGGAAACGUCGCGUAAUACUCCGUAACAACAGGGACCGCAUGAUCCUUGUUUAAUAGAUUUAUUGCUAUCGGAUUGGCUCGCGUACCAUUAGGUAGUUGGUGAGGUAACGGCCCACCAAGCCGACGAUGGUUAGGGGUUCUGAGAGGAAGGUCCCCCACAUUGGAACUGAGACACGGUCCAGACUCCUACGGGAGGCAGCAGUGAGGAAUAUUGGUCAAUGGCCGAAAGGCUGAACCAGCCAUGCCGCGUGCGGGAAGAACCGGCCCUAUGGGUUGUAAACCGCUUUUGUGUGGGAGCAAUAAGUGCCACGUGUGGCAUGAUGAGAGUACCAUACGAAUAAGCAUCGGCUAACUCCGUGCCAGCCGCCGC